Metopolophium dirhodum (rose-grain aphid) is the source of this 360-nucleotide long non-coding RNA. RefSeq lists it as uncharacterized. The transcript has 3 exons. NCBI's taxonomy places the organism in Eukaryota, Metazoa, Arthropoda, Insecta, Hemiptera, Aphididae. The record is from RefSeq and is a predicted model, not a curated record.
AGAUAAAGUUUUGAUUAAUCUUACAAGACACUUCGCCAAUUUUAUCAAAGAAAGCGUUCAAAAACGUGACAUAUUAUGUCCAUUGGUCGAUGACUUUUGUACAGAAAAAACUGAAUCACCAGGUUACAAUGAAUUUUAUAAGUCCAUCUUAAACAUUAAUGGAGUGACACCAUUUAUAUGAAAUAAUAAAAUUACGUUUGAGUUUGAAUAUUUUGUUUACUCAUAUUAAGAUAAAUAUAAACUAAAUUCUAUAAUACAACAUUAUAUCACAUUGUAUAAUAUUUUCAUGUUUUUAAUUAUUAUAAUUCCUAAUAAAAUUAAUGUGAUGUUUUCGGAAAAAAUUAAUUCAACUUUAUUGUA